GUCUACGGCCAUGCCACCCUGAACUUGCCCUAUCUCAUCUGAUCUAGGAAGCUAAGCAGGGUCAGGUCUGGUUAGUACUUGAAUGGGAGACCACCUAGGAAGACUAGAUGCUGUAGGCA
Molecule: ribosomal RNA, 119 nt
Filed under: Pteropus alecto (black flying fox)
Lineage: Eukaryota; Metazoa; Chordata; Mammalia; Chiroptera; Pteropodidae
Also listed under: 1 other name
Source: RNAcentral